GGUAUUAUACUUUAAUAUAAAAGAUUCGAUUUGCAUUUGAAAAAUAAAGGCAUCUUUUAAUACCA
Molecule: transfer RNA, 65 nt
Filed under: Nierstraszella lineata
Lineage: Eukaryota; Metazoa; Mollusca; Polyplacophora; Lepidopleurida; Nierstraszellidae
Description: tRNA-Ala
Source: RNAcentral